Molecule: ribosomal RNA, 254 nt
Filed under: uncultured bacterium
Lineage: Bacteria
Description: partial 16S ribosomal RNA
Rfam family: Bacterial small subunit ribosomal RNA
Source: RNAcentral
UACGUAGGGUGCGAGCGUUAAUCGGAAUUACUGGGCGUAAAGUGUGCGCAGGCGGCCGAGCAAGUCGAGUGUGAAAGCCCCGGGCUUAACUUGGGAAUUGCGCUCGAAACUACUUGGCUAGAGUGUGGCAGAGGAAGGUGGAAUUCCACGUGUAGCGGUGAAAUGCGUAGAGAUGUGGGGGAACACCGAUGGCGAAGGCAGCCUUCCUGGGCCAACACUGACGCUCAUGCACGAAAGCGUGGGGAGCAAACAGG